AGAGCGAACGCUGGCGGCAGGCCUAACACAUGCAAGUCGAGCGCCCCGCAAGGGGAGCGGCAGACGGGAGAGUAACACGUGGGAACGUACCCUUCAGUUCGGAACAACCCAGGGAAACUCGGGCUAAUACCGAAUACGUCCGUAAGGAGAAAGAUUUAUCGCUGAAGGAUCGGCCCGCGUCUGAUUAGCUUGUUGGUGAGGUAAUGGCUCACCAAGGCUACGAUCAGUAGCUGGUCUGAGAGGAAGAUCAGCCACACUGGGACUGAGACACGGCCCAGACUCCUACGGGAGGCAGCAGUUGGGAAUCUUGGACAAUGGGGGAAACCCUGAUCCAGCCAUGCCGCGUGAGUGAUGAAGGCCUUCGGGUUGUAAAACUCUUUCGACGGGGACGAUAAUGACGGUACCGUAGAAGAAGCUCCGGCUAACUUCGCGCCAGCAGCCGC
RNAcentral lists this ribosomal RNA (443 nucleotides) under uncultured bacterium. Its description in RNAcentral is "SSU rRNA". It matches the Rfam family "Bacterial small subunit ribosomal RNA", at positions 26 to 518 of the family's 1533-position model. The record is from RNAcentral.